UACGAAGGUCCCAAGCGUUAUCCGGAUUUAUUGGGUUUAAAGGGUGCGUAGGCGGUCUUUUAAGUCAGCGGUGAAAUCCUCCAGCUUAACUGGAGAACUGCCAUUGAUACUGGAAGACUUGAGUACAGACGAGGUAGGCGGAAUUGACAGUGUAGCGGUGAAAUGCAUAGAUAUUGUCAAGAACACCGAUUGCGAAGGCAGCUUACUAGACUGUAACUGACGCUGAGGCACGAAAGUGUGGGGAUCAAACAGG
This 253-nucleotide ribosomal RNA is filed under the name uncultured bacterium. RNAcentral's name for it is "partial 16S ribosomal RNA". It matches the Rfam family "Bacterial small subunit ribosomal RNA", at positions 524 to 776 of the family's 1533-position model. The record is from RNAcentral.